AGCCCUGAGGUGUUUUACACGCAGGAUUGCAAAUCCUGAGUUGCAGGUAACACUGCCGGGGCUU
This 64-nucleotide transfer RNA is filed under the name Hemigobius hoevenii. RNAcentral's name for it is "tRNA-Cys". Lineage: Eukaryota; Metazoa; Chordata; Actinopteri; Gobiiformes; Gobiidae. The record is from RNAcentral.